UACGGAGGGUGCGAGCGUUGUUCGGAAUCACUGGGCGUAAAGGGCGUGUAGGCGGUCCGCUAAGUCUGAUGUGAAAGCCCGGGGCUCACCCCCGGAAGGGCAUUGGAAACUGACGGACUCGAGUCCCGAAGAGGAGGGUGGAAUUCCUGGUGUAGCGGUGAAAUGCGUAGAUAUCAGGAGGAACACCGGUGGCGAAGGCGGCCCUCUGGACGGUGACUGACGCUGAGACGCGAAAGCGUGGGUAGCAAACAGG
This 253-nucleotide ribosomal RNA is filed under the name uncultured bacterium. RNAcentral describes it as "partial 16S ribosomal RNA". It matches the Rfam family "Bacterial small subunit ribosomal RNA", at positions 524 to 776 of the family's 1533-position model. The record is from RNAcentral.